This 163-nucleotide unclassified non-coding RNA is filed under the name Ascomycota sp. Its description in RNAcentral is "partial contains small subunit ribosomal RNA and internal transcribed spacer 1". The stretch from base 1 to 47 matches the Rfam family "Eukaryotic small subunit ribosomal RNA", at positions 1785 to 1831 of the family's 1831-position model. The record is from RNAcentral. Lineage: Eukaryota; Fungi; Ascomycota.
AAAGUCGUAACAAGGUUUCCGUAGGUGAACCUGCGGAAGGAUCAUUACCGGAGGAGGAUGGAUUUGAACCUGUUGCAAGGCUGUAUAUAUACGCGUGUAUCUAUUUAUUUCAUUCAAUUAUAUUCAUACAUAUCAACUUGGCACCAUGGAUCUCUCGGCUCUG